GGUCAGGAUGAACGAUUCGGAAUGAAAUUAUUAAUUGGGUUUAAAAUCAAGGGUUUAAACUGGGGUUGUAAUAUAAUGUAGGGAUACAAAUUAGGGUUGUAUUAUAGUCCAAAUAGAAUGAUAACUGCUGUUCUUUACAUUUAGUCACAUGAGUCAAGUUGUAUUUACUUUGGAUUAUAAUUUGUUGAAUUGAGUUGCCUGGAGAUCCUAAACAUUCGACAAUUAUUCUACGUCCCCGCUGUAGGACAAAUCACAAUGUCUUGUAUCAACGGUGUGACCCGCACGGCGCAAGUUCUCUUAGCAGCUGCUUGGUUCCCUCAGAAUGAAACUGCGACGGCUUUUGUACUUCCCGUGUUUGUUAAGACUUUGGCUGGCAUUAUCAGCUCACUGAUAUACUCAUACGCCAUCCCAAAGGUCGUUUCUGCUACUGAAAAAGGAACUGAGUUUUUUUUUUCGGUAACAAUCUUGUUUACAGCUACACACGGAUUUUUUAGUGUCGCCGUUUUUCUCGCGCUUGUGCUUGUAUUUUACUGUGACAAUAACCCACCAUCUCCACCUAGUCGAUCCCAGAAAAA
This is a non-coding RNA of Styela clava, 575 nucleotides long. The record is from RefSeq and is a predicted model, not a curated record. NCBI's taxonomy places the organism in Eukaryota, Metazoa, Chordata, Ascidiacea, Stolidobranchia, Styelidae.